UAUAGUUUGGAUCAUGGCUCAGAUUGAACGCUGGCGGCAGGCCUAACACAUGCAAGUCGAACGGUAACAGGAAGCAGCUUGCUGCUUCGCUGACGAGUGGCGGACGGGUGAGUAAUGUCUGGGAAACUGCCUGAUGGAGGGGGAUAACUACUGGAAACGGUAGCUAAUACCGCAUAACGUCGCAAGACCAAAGAGGGGGACCUUCGGGCCUCUUGCCAUCGGAUGUGCCCAGAUGGGAUUAGCUAGUAGGUGGGGUAACGGCUCACCUAGGCGACGAUCCCUAGCUGGUCUGAGAGGAUGACCAGCCACACUGGAACUGAGACACGGCCCAGACUCCUACGGGAGGCAGCAGUGGGGAAUAUUGCACAAUGGGCGCAAGCCUGAUGCAGCCAUGCCGCGUGUAUGAAGAAGGCCUUCGGGUUGUAAAGUACUUUCAGCGGGGAGGAAGGUGAUAAGGUUAAUAACUUUAGCGAUGA
RNAcentral lists this ribosomal RNA (476 nucleotides) under Enterobacter sp. RNAcentral's name for it is "bacterial SSU rRNA". It matches the Rfam family "Bacterial small subunit ribosomal RNA", at positions 1 to 477 of the family's 1533-position model. The record is from RNAcentral. Lineage: Bacteria; Pseudomonadati; Pseudomonadota; Gammaproteobacteria; Enterobacterales; Enterobacteriaceae.